This 255-nucleotide unclassified non-coding RNA is filed under the name plant metagenome. RNAcentral's name for it is "partial contains small subunit ribosomal RNA, internal transcribed spacer 1, and 5.8S ribosomal RNA". The record is from RNAcentral.
UUUCCGUAGGUGAACCUGCGGAAGGAUCAGUAUUGUAUAACCGAGGUGCGAGGGCUGUCGCUGACCCGAAAGGUCGUGCACGCCCGAGUGCCCUCACACACAUCCAUCUCACCCCUAUGUGCACCACCGCGUGGGUCCCCCUUUGGCUUGUUCGGAGGGGGGCUCGCGUUUUCACACAAACCCCCCUUUUAAAAGUGUAGAAUGACCACAUUUAUGCAAUCAAUACAACUUUCAACAACGGAUCUCUUGGCUCUC